Xiphophorus couchianus (Monterrey platyfish) is the source of this 4179-nucleotide long non-coding RNA. RefSeq lists it as uncharacterized. The transcript is spliced from 3 exons. Lineage: Eukaryota; Metazoa; Chordata; Actinopteri; Cyprinodontiformes; Poeciliidae. The record is from RefSeq and is a predicted model, not a curated record.
CAAUGCCCACAGUGGAGGUGAAUGACCCCGGGAUGAACUUGCCCUGGUCAAACUGAACCAGCAGAGAGGUCUUGCCCACGCCGUUGUCUCCCACCAGGAUGGUCUGCAGAUUGAGACACACACACACACACACACGCGCAUGCAGGAGACGUCAUGUUCUGCAGCCUCGCGCCGUUUUAAUCGCCCGAGGCCGCAGCGCUGUGUGGGCAUGAGGAGCGGGUUAUUGUACGAGUUCAUCAUGUGUUGCUCAGCGCCGCUGUCUGAUGCUUUGCGACAGCUGGAGGUUGGCUCGGUGUCUUCAGGAGGGAAGGUCGGCGUCGACGCGAAGGCUGGACCUGCUUCACAAUGAGCUGGAGGGUCAGAAAGAAAAAAAUCUCCCUGAGGGGAACAUGGAGUUCUCCUCUGUUAUCCUUCUGCUCUGUGCAUGUUCAGAUCUGUGCAAAAGUUUCACAGAUCUAUGAUUUCCUUCCAGACUUUCUGGGAAAGUCAUAGAAGAAGCCAGAGUCUUCUCCUGCUUCUUAUCUGCUGCCUACAAGAGCAAAUGUACAGCAGAGAGUGACAGCAUGCCGGGCUCCACUGCUGGUAAUACGCUCGCUUUAAUCAUCCUCGUGCAUGUACGACACGUCGGCUUUGAUGUUCCAUUAAAACGGACAAGUUGGUGAAGGUUGGAGCGGAUCUAAAUUUAUUCGGUCCAUAGGAGUCGCAUUCUGCUCGCCUCUUCACUUGCACUUGAGCAUAGAGCGAGUGGCCAUUCAUCAAAUGAAGAAAGAGGCCGGGAAGAUGAAUUUAUCAGUGGAAGCUAAAAUUUUGCUAAGUGGACAACAACAUCUCUACAAAGAGCUGCAGCUGACCGCACUCAGGACUUCUCUUCCUGAAUGGCUCGCUCUGAGAGAAGUGGAUGCAGAGGCAGGCAGCUGAUGACGGCGAACAGCAGGAGGAGGUAACAGGCCGAACCCGUACCUGGAGAGCAAACGAUGCAAACCAGAGGAGAGGCUGAUGAGUCAGAGCGAGGGGGAUGUGCUGUGCUGGGUUUCAGAGGCCCGAGUGAAAUCAGAGUAUUACCAUUUCAUCGCUCCCGCAUUAAAGACUGAUUCAGACAUGCUAGCAUUUUGAUGAUGGGAGCAAAGCAACAAAAAAUAUCCAUGGAUGAUGGUUUGUGGAGCUUGUGAAAACCUCACAGUUCGGAUAAGAAUAACUCUCAGGGUGAGUUUUCCAUUUUUGGUGAUGUAUACUAAUGGUGAAAAAAAGUAUGCUGCGGUGAAUUAGAUGUUAAGUUCACCUUCUGUCUUGAAAUACGGCCUAUAUAAAUAACUAGAUAUAUUUUCAUAAACCAGCCCCUAAUUACACAGGUUACAGUUAAAGUUUCAGUGAACAUCCCCUUUAAAAUGCCAGAUUUGUGUGACACAAAACCUCACACCAUGAUACUGCGACUACCACACUUCACUAAAUGCGAUGCUAUUUUUCGUGUCAAGUUUUUGUAAAUGUUUUCUUGAGAAGGAAGAUGUCAAACUUCUCAUUCUCGUCAUACGGGGAAUACUGAAUAUCACAUCUUCCUGCAGCCUCCUGUCAAAUAUAAAAUGCUUUGGAUGUUUUUUUGUAAUCUUCUCCUGACUGAAAUCUUUGCAGAAGGAAAAAAUAUAUGCACAAAUGUGUAAUUACCUAUUUUUAUUUGCUUGAAAUUCACAGUAAAAUUCACAGCUUGUAUAUUUGAUAUUUUUCUUUCUCUCAAGAAGCUAAUUUCUCCCCAGCAUUUUUAGAAAGCACCCAAAGCUUCAUUUGAAUCACCUGAGAUCCAACUGGAUCAGCUGCCAGCAAAAUAAAAAUAAGUAAAUAUAAAACAAACAAAAAAAGCCGGAGCCAUCCGAGUAUGGCGCCUUUUGUUGUUUUUGACUGGGCAAAGCAACAAAUACAAGCUGAAAUUUCAUCAGCGGAGAGGCAGGAGCUCCAUCUCAGCUCGCCACAAAGUAAUACUUGUUUCAACAUCCAGUAAUUACAAUCUCAGAUAUCCUCUAAUCCCGUUAGCUGCAUGCCGCAGCGAAAGCCUCAAUCUGUUUGAUAGAAGCGAGCUUUAACCUGCCAGACCAAUCACUUGAAAAUCUGGACGUAUUAUUGUGACAAAAGCAACAAAAACUCAGCAGAGAAAAAGUUGAGCGGUUUGCCGACACCAACGCUCUGUCAUCUGUGAACAUGAAGCGUCUGAUUGGCUAAGAGUUAACCUGCUAUUGGGUGAAAUUGAAAAUACUAUUAUUGGUUUAUUAGCUCUUAGCUAUAAAUAAACCAAUAAUUUAAUAAGUAGAAGCAAACUAGCAUAAAAUCCUUAGCUUACCUUAUGUGUUAGCUCUUCAUUAUAGGGUGUCUUCAUGUCCUCCAUGUCAAUCACAGAUGAUCCAGACAGGUUGUCCAUUGUCUCCUGUGUCUCUGUCUCACACAAAUCAGAUCUCUGCUCAGAAACAGGCAAACUCAACCCAGAGACCUUCCACUCUUCACUCCUUUUAAGUCGAGUUUACAGCCCGCUGUCCCCAACACCUGGCCCUCCUCCUCCGCAGGUCUCCAUUUUCUCCAUGUGGUUCACAUCCGGUGCACAGAGGGGAAAACUGCCUUGAACUUUGCACUUGAACCGGAAAACACUUCAAAUAUUUAUACGGGGAAGCUCAGAAGUGUUGCUUACAGUAUUUAUGAAGGAAGGAAGCUUCAGCACCCUGGAGGGCGUUUACAUCCUUUAUAUAAUCCAAAACUAUUCAUUCUUGACUUUUUAUCAUAUUUUGUCACAUUAAAUUGUGAUGUCUGUGGAUUGCAUCAAAAAUAGCUAGAGCACAACUGUGAAGAUGAAGGAAAAUCAUUCAUUCAUAGAUCGCCUGUGGUGACAGCGAGCAGAUCACCACAAACACACCAUGAAAGGCUGAAGAGACGUUUUCCUCUCAGCAGGGGCAGAGAUGGUGGAUGAAGCAACAGGCAGGGGAAUGCAGGACCUACAGCAACUCUACACACACACAACCUGGUGAGAUAUAAAAGAAUAGUUCAGGUCAAAUAUUCAGGUGUUAGAUUGAUCACUUGGCUAGUCUGCGAAGAGGAACGGGCAAAAAUGACAGUCUCUAUAUGUGCAAAGCUGUUAAGUGUAAUUGUAGAACCAAGUUAAUUUUCAAAGUAUGCUCUCAGGGAGCUGAACUGAAAUGCACGCCACACUUUUCAGAUUCUUUAGUUAAACAAAACAUUUGAAAUUUACGAAUCAAGCUAGCAACGGUAUUUUAGCAUCUGGUCACCGGUAGCAUCAACUGCUUGAAGUCACAGAACGCAAUGAAGGCAUCUGCAAGCGACAGAAAAGUCCCAUAAGAAAAAAGACUAACGACUAAAUAAUCAUGAAACAACAUUUAAGACUUGUGAUUAACGCAUUUUAGGCCAGUAUAAAUACAUCUUUUUAAUGAAUUUAAGAUAUUUUAAGGCCUGAAUUUUAGAUGUAUACAUUUAAGACCUUUUAAGGGUGUGCGACAUCAUGGCAGCAUUUUGUCUGUUGCAUAAAAUCCCAAUAAAAAUACAUUGCAUCUCACGUUUUAUAAUUUUAAAUUCAUUGAGGAUUCAGAAGGACUUAAUGUGCGCAAAACUCUGCUCCUAGCAAAGACAACUCCCGUUCAAAGUGAGCUGUUUUAUAAACACUAGAUUAAAUCCAGACAUGCUUCAAGGUACAAACAAGUAUAACAACAAAAGCUGGAAUAUAGUCAUCUAUUUAUUGAGUUUUCAGUGAGACUGUCUGAUCUUCUCCACAGCAGCGACAGGCUCCUGUUCCCUACAGAUCGGAGCGACGGAGCCGAGGAUGAGUCACCGUCCGGGCUGCUCCCGACUAUCACAACAGCACGGACAGAAAUCUCAACCUCCCAAAACCCAGAGGAGCCGCGUCAUGCGACACCGAACAGGUGGACUGUCGAAUGCAACACAAUUAGAGAGCAGUUUUAACAGCUCAGGGAGCCAAGAGACGAACAGACAGCAUACAGCUUCCCUCCAACUGGAUAGAAAAAUAACAUUUACAAAGAUCCAUUAAUCUGCUUAUUCUCUCAAUAAAACCGGGGCUUCACUGAAGCGACUGUACUGUGCAAGCUACACAAGGUCACUUAAAAACAACGUGCGUGUUGGACGGUCAUUAUUUCAGAACACAAAAAAACAAACAAAAAAAAACUAAAGUAAAAA